UAGGCGUACGGGUGAGUAACACGUGGAUCAUCUACCUCUUAGUGGGGAAUAACUCUGGGAAACCGGAGCUAAUACCGCAUAAGCCUGGAAAGGGAAAAGCAGGAAUGCGCUGAGAGAGGAGUCCGCGGCCGAUUAGCUAGUUGGCAGGGUAAAAGCCUACCAAGGCAUUGAUCGGUAGCCGGCCUGAGAGGGCACACGGCCACACUGGCACUGAAACACGGGCCAG
RNAcentral lists this ribosomal RNA (226 nucleotides) under uncultured bacterium. Its description in RNAcentral is "partial 16S ribosomal RNA". It matches the Rfam family "Bacterial small subunit ribosomal RNA", at positions 95 to 334 of the family's 1533-position model. The record is from RNAcentral.